RNAcentral lists this long non-coding RNA (593 nucleotides) under Homo sapiens (human). RNAcentral's name for it is "long non-coding RNA NONHSAT026190.2". The record is from RNAcentral. Lineage: Eukaryota; Metazoa; Chordata; Mammalia; Primates; Hominidae.
CGCUUUGGGGCUGCAGGGAAGCUGGCCGCUGUGGGCGGUCUCGGGCCAGCCCCGCCCCACCUGUCCUUUUCCUGGAGACUAUUAGUCCAGGGUUUGUCCCUGCAGUGCCAUUGGCCUGGCAGGCAGGAUCGAGGAGGAAGUGGCUGAUUACUGAGCGGUUCUUCCUCACCUGGCUUGGGCCACUGUGCACAGCUGUGCCGCUGGCUCAGCCCCGCCCCCUGCGGCCCUCUGCCGUGGCUUCCCCCUCCCUACAGAGAGAUGCUGUCCCGUGGGUGGUUUCACCGAGACCUCAGUGGGCUGGAUGCAGAGACCCUGCUCAAGGGCCGAGGUGUCCACGGUAGCUUCCUGGCUCGGCCCAGUCGCAAGAACCAGGGUGACUUCUCGCUCUCCGUCAGGGUGGGGGAUCAGGUGACCCAUAUUCGGAUCCAGAACUCAGGGGAUUUCUAUGACCUGUAUGGAGGGGAGAAGUUUGCGACUCUGACAGAGCUGGUGGAGUACUACACUCAGCAGCAGGGUGUCCUGCAGGACCGCGACGGCACCAUCAUCCACCUCAAGUACCCGCUGAACUGCUCCGAUCCCACUAGUGAGAGGUG